Long non-coding RNA from Rhipicephalus microplus (southern cattle tick), 1928 nucleotides. The record is from RefSeq and is a predicted model, not a curated record. NCBI's taxonomy places the organism in Eukaryota, Metazoa, Arthropoda, Arachnida, Ixodida, Ixodidae.
UUUACCGGUCACUCAGUCAGGCUCAGUCUCCUCUCGAAGAACCGGGUUUGAGUCGAUUUCUCUCGUGUUUCAAAAGUGUGCUUGCGCUUUGUGUUGGUGUUUUGUGGUAUGUCAGUGCUGCUGAUUGCGAAGAUGCUCUAUGCUCAAGCGAAGACGUGUGGGUUCGUAUCGUGGAGGACUCACCAGCCUAUGCAUGCCCCUCGUACGAACUGAGUGUGAAAGACUUUCGGACAAACCUGUCAUCAAUGGUGGCUCGUGGAAAAGUUGGCUUCUGAAUGUACAGCAGCUGCACAUUACUUCUGUUUCCUAUGGAAAGGGUACUUCCCUGAGCCUCCUGGUUGCUGUAUUUAAGUAGCUCGCAUGUUCAGUAUGUUCAAUAUUAGGCCUUUUGUUUUUUCUUAAAAAAACUCAAUGCUGUAAGUUGUGUGUGUAAAAGCCACCUUUGUAGAUAUCUAAGUGUUUAGGAGAACACAAUGUGCAACAUUAGUUAUCACUGUCAGCCUUGCCCUUGAAUAAGAUUCAAUAAUGAACUUAUUAGUGACGGCAGCAGGUGGUCAUGCACGUAUUAAAAAUUUGAGGCAGUCAAUUUUCUACAUAUGUUCGAAGAAUUCUGGCAUGCCUGUGCUCAGAUAUCCCGCUGGAAAAAAUAGUUGUGGCUUGUAUUAUUAUGCAUGCAGGACAGUGAGCACUAGCACACAGCUACUACUCCCUGAGGUGCCGCAUAUAAUCUGAUCAUGGAUCGAAGCCAUAGAGAAGCAUUAUAUUGGUAACCUUUUUACUACCGGCUGGAAUAUAGCAAGCACUGACUGCUUGUCUCACCAGGGAGUAAUAUUUUGCUGAUCCUCGCUGCCUUGCAUGAGUAAUCAUGAAAGACACAAUAAACUUCCGAGAGGAAUUCUCAGAGCAUAGACAUGCUCGAAGAAUUUUUCCAAGUGGGAGUGUGUAGAAACACGACUGCCACAAACUGCUCUAUGCAAACAUACUCACUUAACGUAGGCACCGAAAUUUCGGUAUUAGUUGAUUGGGCAGUUGACAGCAUUAUCUUUCUUUGUGUUCCCCUGGACACAUGACUUAUCUGCAAAGGCAGUUUUCUGUUCUUAUAGCUAAAUUUUAUUACAAGCACAAAGCACGUCUCUGAAUGUGUCAGUGCUGCUUUCUAAGGUUUUAUGUCAUGUUCAAAUAGGUGUAGUCUGCAGUUAGUCACUUAAAAUUGAACUUUUUGCAUUGCAAUAAGGCUGUAGCAGAUCAAUGGUUUUAUUUUCACUGUAAUAUUGAAUGAAUAUUUUGUUUUAUUGUUGUUGUAACCUUAUUUUAUUGUCUUCUGGAAUUUAAUGCCGUAAGUUCAAUCAGGUGACUUUCUAUUGUCAUACUUAAUCAUACCUAACUUUGCCAUUAUCUAACCAUUUGUGACAUAUUAGUGAUACCUAACCAUGUUUAACAUUGUUAAUGAUGACUGACAGAAGGCAUUCUGGAAUACUGUAGCGUUUUUAACUUCACUGUGUAUUUUGUGCGAGUAUUUUGGGAUGGAAUUAGAAUUCGGGGUGUUGCGAAAAUCACAAUUUGAUUGUUUAACACAGAUUUGUGGUGAAACACAUGAAUUUCAACUACCUAGAUUCUAUACCUAAAUUUGGAGAUGAGAAAAAAAUCAAUUGUUCGACUGCUGGUUUUUGGCUGUAACAAAUUUUCUACCUUUAUGUAUUUGCUACUGGGCCAAUGUGUUUGCUAAGUUAGCCUUCUGAAUUUCGUUGCACUGACAGAAGUCUGCUUGAAGAGAACAGUGCCUUUUGUAUGUGUGCAGGUUCCUGGACCAAGCAUCUGGCCAGCCCCUCAAUCGCUUUGUAUAAAUAUAGUUACUAUAAAGCAUGCAAGUUUUGGGACAAAUUGUGCAGUCAUUGUCAAGUUUAAUAAAGGUUACAAGUAUGCAACAA